RNAcentral lists this long non-coding RNA (391 nucleotides) under Carica papaya (papaya). Its description in RNAcentral is "long non-coding RNA (CPAP_LNC006509)". Lineage: Eukaryota; Viridiplantae; Streptophyta; Magnoliopsida; Brassicales; Caricaceae. The record is from RNAcentral.
UCGAUCUACUUGCACCAAUUAUCUGAGAGAACAAACUCUCUACAACACCUUAUUGUGUGAGAAACAAGGCUCUGACAUCCUUUAUAUGAUCUUCCUCUAACUUCUUUGGUUUUGCAGGUGUUAGUUGAUGUCCAACAACAAAGCGAAAAUAACCAUUCUCACCUAUAUCCCACAACCCUUGUGAUUGUAGCAACAUUCGCGUUUUUAUCUUCCAUACAUCAUAAUUUCUACCAAAAAAUAUGGGAACUAUUGUUUGCGCCAUAUUUGCGCCAACAUCUGAAGCCGUCAAUUCAAAAUUCUUCUUUUUCAUGAACGUAAAUUCACUACUUCGCUAACACCCGUCUUUGAAUCAUGUUCUGAUACCAGUUGUUAGAAAUAAAUUGAAGGUAAG